This 1530-nucleotide ribosomal RNA is filed under the name Triticum aestivum (bread wheat). Its description in RNAcentral is "partial small subunit ribosomal RNA". The record is from RNAcentral. Lineage: Eukaryota; Viridiplantae; Streptophyta; Magnoliopsida; Poales; Poaceae.
AUGCCUCGGCCGCUCCUGGCAGUCCUCGUCGCCGCCCUCGUGCUCGUCCUCGAGCUCCCCGGUGCCCAUGGCUUCCAGAUCGAGGAGGCAACCGUGGCCAGCAUCCAGAUCGGCUUCAACAACGGGAGCCUCACCUCCGUGGAGCUCGUCCGGUUCUACCUGGACCGGAUCAGCAACUUCAACCCGCUGCUGCACGCCGUCAUUGAGGUCAACCCAGACGCGCUCCGGCAGGCGGCCCGCGCCGACGCCGAGCGCUGCUCCGGCCGCCGCCAUCGAGCCAUCGGCGCGCUGCACGGCGUGCCCGUCCUGCUCAAGGACAACAUCGCCACCUGCGACGCGCUCAACACCACGGCCGGGUCGUUCGCGCUGCUUGGCUCCGUGGUGAGGCGUGACGCCGGCGUGGUGCGCCGGCUGCGGCGCGCCGGCGCCGUGGUGCUCGGCAAGGCGAACAUGGACGAGUGGGCCAACUUCCGCAGCUUCUCCGGCGGCGGCUGGAGCGCCCGCGGCGGCAAGGGCAGGAACCCCUACGUGCUGUCGGCGACGCCGUGUGGGUCGAGCACGGGGUCGGCGAUCGCGGCGGCGGCGAGCAUGGCGGCGGUGACGCUGGGGACAGAGACCGACGGCUCGAUACUCUGCCCGGCGUCGCUGAACUCGGUGGUGGGGAUCAAGCCCACGGUGGGGUUGACCAGCCGGGCUGGGGUUAUUCCCAUCACACCACGCCAAGACACUAUCGGGCCGAUUUGCCGCACGGUGGCUGAUGCAGUCCACGUGCUGGACACCAUCGUCGGCUAUGAUGCUCUCGACGCUAUUGCCACGAUGCAAGCUUCCAAGUACAUCCCUCGUGGUGGAUACAUGCAGUUCUUGAAAAAAGAUGGCCUUAGAGGGAAGAGGAUAGGCGUUCCUAAUGGUUUCUUCAACUUCCCAAAUGGGACGGUGCAACAAAUGGUCUACGAGCAACAUCUCAGCACAAUGAGGAAACAAGGAGCAAUCGUGAUUGAGAACCUUGACAUAGAGAAUUUAAGUGUCCUAUUGGAUUUCCAAAACAAUGGCCAACUGAUCGCAUUACCAGCAGAGUUCAAGUUAAGCCUCAACUCCUAUCUGUCAAACUUAUUAUAUUCCCCAGUUCGGUCGCUUGCAGAGAUCAUAGCUUUCAACAAUGCACAUCCUGUUGAGGAAAACAUGAAGGAAAAUGGUCAAACCGUAUUCCUGGUGGCUGAGAACACGACGGGCAUCGGUGCCUCGGAGCGAGAGGCGAUCAGUCAGUUAAAUAAGCUGUCCGCCAACGGGUUGAAGAAGUUGAUGAGGGAGCACGAGCUAGACGCCAUAGUGACACCUAAUAAUGCAGCAUCCUCGGUGCUCGCCAUCGACGGCUUGCCGGCCAUCACCGUGCCGGCAGGGUACGGCAAGCUGGGGGUGCCGUUUGGUCUUUGCUUUAGCGGGCUGAGAGGGUAUGAACCGAGGCUGAUCGAAAUGGCGUAUGCCUUCGAGCAUGUUACCAUGGCCAGAAAGAUGCCCACAUUCUUACCAUAG